Homo sapiens (human) is the source of this 2216-nucleotide long non-coding RNA. Ensembl annotates it as ANKRD34C antisense RNA 1. Its record names the gene ANKRD34C-AS1. NCBI's taxonomy places the organism in Eukaryota, Metazoa, Chordata, Mammalia, Primates, Hominidae. The record is from Ensembl.
AGUUAGAAGCAGAUCAGAAAUCGAACACGUUUGCUUUUGCGAUUCGAGAGCCCUUUCUGGCGCGGAGCUAGGGGCGGUGUUACGUAGCUGCCCUGAACUGAGAGCAGCGUUGGCCGGGGGCUAGGGAGCCGGGCUGUUCCACGCUCACUGUGCGCCUCGGGCGGCGGGGCUCGGGCUCUGUCCGAGGUGCUGAACUCCGGGGCUCCGGCCGCGCCGGCAGAGUGUGCCAGCGUCCAUUAUUGCCAGUGUCUGUGGGCAUCUUCCAGAAGGCCGAGCAUGGGGGUCAGGUGAAACCAGGGCGCUCCCAAGCACCUUGCCCAGUAGAGCCCCCUUGCACCCUGCUUGGUUGGUCAGCACCCCAUGGACAUGCAGCCUUGACCUUGGCAUGGGAAGCCUCCACUGUGUCAAGCCCAACAUCCAGGCCUCUGAAGACAGUCAUUCAGCCAUGAAUAUCAAUUAUUACAGAAAUGAAAAGGGAUCCUGCACCCAAAUUCAAAUCAAGCAAGUUCACCUAGAGGUUGCCGUGGGGUGGAGGGCCCAGAUCUGGGCUGUUUGGAUCUCUCUGCAGGAUGAAAGGGAUUUCCUGGACCUGGCUUUGCUGUCCCUUGCUCCUUUUGUAAGCAUCUGACUCUUCCUCUAUCCAUAAAGAUGAAGACAUUCUUUCGCAGGGAUUUAAUAUUGGGGCUGCAUGCCUGGCCCCUGAGAAAGCCCAAGCUUCCUCCUCCUUUUGAAUCGAACCCAGUGCAGCUUUAUGCGCUCCAGACGAGCCUGCAUUCCCCCUAAUGCCCCUGGAAUUGCUUACUCACACCAAAAUCCGCUGCCUCAGGCGUUUCCAGCCAGAGGUAAGCCUUCUUUUCAUGGGCAAUCAGGCAGUAGCCUGGAGCACAGAGGGGAAGGGGGGCACCUGCAUGCCCGGCUGGGUCUCUGUAGACAGUGGAUCAUGCGAGGCCUCCCCUCUCCUUGACCCUGUGUGAUGAGCCCUGGGAGGAGGCACCCAGGCCAGGGGAGGAGCUGCGUAGUGACAGAAAGGGCAUCUACAUCUCUACCACGUAAGUGGGGAAACUGAGGCUGGGCCUAGCACCAGAUCACUCAUGUUGAAACCUAGGUUUGAACUGGGUCUCUGAAUCCCCAUCCAGAGCUCACUGCCUUAAGGCUGAGGUGCCUGUGAGUGUCUGAGGACCCUUACUAUGAGACAGUGUUAUCGCUGACUUACAGUCUGGGUAAAGAAGGUGAAUGCAGUCAGAGGAGUAGAUUCAGGUGUCAGACAUUUGCAUAAAAUACCAAUUGCUCCUCAUGUUGGGGAGGUAAUUCACAAGCUUGAAUCUCUAAAAGGCUGCAUCUGGUGGAGGGCGGGGCUAUGUGUCUGUGCACGUCUGGUCUUUGGAGUUCUUAUUCAGCAAAUAUUGAUUGCAAGCCCACCAUGUGCCAGGCAUCAUGCCUGGGGCUUGGGAUCCAGAGAUGAAGAGACAGUCAACCAAGUCCAUCAGGCUCUGCCAACCCCUGUAGUGUGAGUGGUGGUUGGAGCACGUGUUAUACCCCCAAAAGGUGGGCUUGGCCAAGCCCUUCCACUUACCAGCCAUGUGUCCUUCUGGAUGGCAGUUUCCUCAUCUGCAAAAUGUGUGUAGCCCUAAGACCUGUCACCCAGGACCAUUUGGGAGGUCAGCUGUUGUUUUGCAGGUGAAAAGAUCCAUCUGGUCUCUGGGCCUGGCACUCUAUCUAUAAAAUGAGGCUCUACUCCAGCAUGUACCCACGGUGUGCUCUGGGUAGUAAACUGUGGUGGUUUAGCACUUUGCCUUUGGGUCUGACAGUCCUGGAUUCAAAUCCAGACUCUGCCCUCUACUGUGUAACCUGGUGCAUGUCACUUAACCUCUGUGGAACCCAGUAUUCUCAACUAUUAAAUGAGGAUGAUAAUAGUAGUAAUCAUAGUAGUACCUAGCUCAGACUGUUGGUGUAAAAAUUAAAUGAGCUAAUUAAAAUUAAAAAGUAAAGUGUUUUGCACAGAGACACUCCUAGUAAGCCCUGAAGAAAUGAGAGCUAUGCUUUUGAUUAUUAAUAUUCUUAUAAUCCAAAGGAUGAUGCAGGAUUUUUUAAAUCUUUCCACAUGUAUGUUUUUGGACCAGUCCAAAAAAGAAUUGGAAACACACUUAUGCCGCAUAAAGACAGAGUUAUGAGGAACUAUAAAAACAAAAUAAAACCUUUGGAGAAUCAACUGCAAA